Bos taurus (domestic cattle) is the source of this 569-nucleotide long non-coding RNA. NCBI's taxonomy places the organism in Eukaryota, Metazoa, Chordata, Mammalia, Artiodactyla, Bovidae. The record is from Ensembl.
GCAUUUCUAACAAGUACUCAUGUGAUAGUGAUGCUGAUGGUUUGGUAACCCCACACGGAGAACCACAACCCUCCUCCCUUUCACCUUUGGCAGAUUCUUCAUCAGCUGAGCCACCAGGGAAGCCCACAUGGUGGUAAAGAGAACAUCAACAAGGAGCUGAAGAAACCCUCUAGAUUAUAGCAAGCAAGAAAAUGAGGUUUUUGCCCGACAAUUCCAAGGAAAUGGAUCCUUCCAACAACUUGAGUUUGGAAUUGGAUGCUCCAGUAGAGGGGUGGAGCCUCCAAGAGAAGCUCAAAGGAGACCACACCCUCCAAUGAUGACUGACACUUUGAAGAGGGACCAACUAAAUUAUGCCCGGACUCAUUACCCACAGCAACUGAGAUCAUAAAGACUGAAUAUUUCAGGUAUUGGCAAUGCAACAACAAGAAGCCAAAAAUAAAAUUCAGAUGCAAAAUGGAGGGAAGCAAGGAAAAGAAAAAGACUGAAGUCCAGUGGAAAUGUUAGUUGUUUUUAUGGUUAAUAAAUAUAUGAUGCAAAUGUACCCAGAGGUUGCUGAAGGAGGGCAAGAG